This 447-nucleotide ribosomal RNA is filed under the name uncultured bacterium. RNAcentral's name for it is "partial 16S ribosomal RNA". It matches the Rfam family "Bacterial small subunit ribosomal RNA", at positions 29 to 507 of the family's 1533-position model. The record is from RNAcentral.
AACGAACGCUGGCGGCAUGCCUUACACAUGCAAGUCGAACGAUAGCUUCGGGCUUGGUGUCGCACGGGUUCGCAAAGCGUGGGAUUAUGCCCUUGGCCUCGGCCUAACAGUUAGAAAUGACUGCUGAUACCGGAUUAUGUCCCCCUUAGGGCUCUUGGGUACCAAAGGUUGAUCGGCCAGGGAGGAGCCGGUGUAGGAUUAGGUAGUUGGUUGGGUAAAGGCCUAGCAAGCCGCCGAUCCUUAGCUGGGUUGAGAGGAUGAUCAGCCACACUUGGACGGAGACACGGCCGAGAAUCUUACGCGAGGCAGGAGUGGGGAAUAUUGGACAAUGGGGGGAACCAUGAUCCAGCAAUGCCGCGUGAGUGAUGAAGGCCGGAGGGUUGUAAAGCGCUUUUACCAGGGAUGAUAAUGACAGUACCGGGAGAAUAAGCUCCGGCUAACUACGUG